GAGCUUCUGCGCUUCCAGAGAGGCACAGCUCUCAGCCGGGCAUGAAGUCGGAGCGCCCGGACCGGCCUGACCCAGAGCGCCCCUCCUAACUGAACCGUCCCGAAGAGCCGCCCCCUUUAAAGAAGCUAUAAAGCUGCUGUUGCACGAGUAUUUCUGGAAACAGCAAAUGAGGCAGCAACCUCCAGCUCGCCAGGACAUGAAACCCCCAGACGCCCCGGAGGGCCCCACCAGCCGGACUCCCUGGCGUCUGCUUGGGGGCUCCCCGGACCCCCACAGGGAGACACUGUGAUUGGUCCAGGUGGAGGGGGAGGCAUGUACGCAUUUUCCUGACUAUUUGCUUCUGUUUAACUUCUGGGUUAACAAAGGGAACCACUGAGCCAGCUAGGAGCAGGAAUUUAAUUCGUCCCAUCGCCCGCGCAAUGAGACGAAUUAAGCGGCAAAACCCAGCAGAACACGGGAAGCUUCUCCUGUAAUUUAGGAAACGUCAGGGUUGCAACUGGCACCUCUUCCGUCCAGCUGAAUGUUCUUCGGUGCCAGAGCAAAGGCGCCCCCUUCCGCUCAAAGCCCAGGGCAAAGUGAAAGAUGGGAAGGUCAGCAAGGGGCGGCCACCACGGCAGGGUCGUCUCCUGCCUUCUGUGGCAGGACGUGGACCGCCGGGAGCAGGCCCAGCAGCCCCGCCCGCCCGUGACAGCCCCCGAAGGGGACAUGAGCCGGCCCCCGGGCCGCCGGGCUCCCGACCACCCACCGGCCAUGAAGACGGCAUCACCCUGCGAGCACCAGGUCCAGCACGCGGGAGGACUCUGACCCCGCCGGCGUGGCUGGUGGGGCCCGGAGAGAGGGCGGCGCGUGGCCCAGGGCUCCGCCGGGCUUUGGACUGCCCACCCGGGGCUUCGGCCCGCUGCGCCUUUGCAGCUUCUUCUUUGACGAUAUGAAAAACUUCUUUGACGAUAUGAAAAAGCCUUAGAAUAGUGAUGCAAAGAGAAGAAAGAGCGUGUGUGUGAGCAGCCCGCACGCGCUUGCAGGUGAAACCGAGACGCCGCUGAAGCCGCCCCCACCGGUGCCACGCGGUCAGGGACGCAGGAGUCAGCUCCAGGGCGCGCCGGCCGAGAUGUGGCUGGGCACCGCCGUUCCCUGAUGCCCGCCGCCUGGCCCAUGCCAUGCUCCCCGGAUGAGCUGACCACUGUCCUCGUGGACGUCAUUGUCGGAGGCAAGACUUCCAGCACUGGCCUCACUGCGCCGUGUUCCUGCUCUCCUGCCUCUGGCCGUCUGACGCCCAGCUGACCAUGUCCUACACCUGGCUGACCAAACCCAGGGUGCUGUAGGGUCCCGGCUCCCAGGGCUCCCUGCUGGCCAGCCAGCCGCCCAGCCUCCACAGGUAGUCUCGCUGCCCAGUGGGUGCUGCAGGAGGGGACUUCCUCUCCAGCAUUUUCUGGAAUUCGCCCACAGGGAAGAACCCUCUGGAGCAAGGACUCGUCGCCCUAGGACACAGUUCGGCAAGAGGCAAAAUGCAAACGUUCCCUCUGGCUUUUCACCUCCCUGUUUCUAGAGUAAUGAGCUGGUUCUCUGCCAGCCCCACAGGGACUUUUUAAAAGUCAGAGAUUAAAAAAAUG
This is a long non-coding RNA of Condylura cristata (star-nosed mole), 1610 nucleotides long. RefSeq lists it as uncharacterized. NCBI's taxonomy places the organism in Eukaryota, Metazoa, Chordata, Mammalia, Eulipotyphla, Talpidae. The transcript has 3 exons. The record is from RefSeq and is a predicted model, not a curated record.